This is a long non-coding RNA of Siniperca chuatsi (mandarin fish), 395 nucleotides long. RefSeq lists it as uncharacterized. Lineage: Eukaryota; Metazoa; Chordata; Actinopteri; Centrarchiformes; Sinipercidae. The transcript has 3 exons. The record is from RefSeq and is a predicted model, not a curated record.
GCCAGGAAACCACAGCUGAAGGAGGACUUACUAAGCAGCGCAGACGAGCAACAGAGCCUCGACUCUGAACCAAGGAGGCAGGCUCAGAACGGAAAGAGGGAUAUUGAGCUGGUGAGGAGACAGGAGCAGAGAAAAACAGAACAAUACAAUGGACACAUAGCUAUCUCCUGGACAAACAGCUAUCUGCAUGGCUUUGAGAGUGCAUCCUGAGCGGAGGAGGAGGAGAGAAGAGAAGAGACAGGAAAUAAUAAACUCUCCCAGCUCCUGGCUCACGCCCCCUUCUCACCCUGAGGUGAAAGGUCACGGAAGAGCAGAGAGAGGGUGAACCAGCGGGUGUCUGAUGGCCCUGGACCAGCCCCCAGAGGUCAUCUCCAGCUCUCUCUGUUUCACACACA